RNAcentral lists this unclassified non-coding RNA (208 nucleotides) under Hevea brasiliensis (rubber tree). Lineage: Eukaryota; Viridiplantae; Streptophyta; Magnoliopsida; Malpighiales; Euphorbiaceae. The record is from RNAcentral.
CUGGGUUCAGGAAGAUUUGAAGAAGUUAAGAUCACACAUGAGAGAAGUGAGGUGGCUGAUGGGGCUCGUUUUCACAUGAAUGGAGAUGAAUGCUUCCACUUACGGACUAUUUCGACAUUGAUGUUUGAAGACGAAGAAAUGAUUUGGGAAAUUGUCCUACUGCACAACGAGAGAGAGAUCUCCUUUGAGCUCGGGGGCGUAAACGUUG